This 144-nucleotide long non-coding RNA is filed under the name Bos indicus x Bos taurus (hybrid cattle). RNAcentral describes it as "lncRNA (ENSBIXG00000028978.1)". Lineage: Eukaryota; Metazoa; Chordata; Mammalia; Artiodactyla; Bovidae. The record is from RNAcentral.
UGGAAGGAGGGUGGAACCUUAUGAAUUAGAUGACUACAUAAAACAUUAAAGUACCAUGAGCUUAAAAACUCUGCAAGCUAUAAGAUCUGCCCCAAGGUAAGUGACUAGGAUCACGGAGUAAUAACUCAAAGAUGAGCUCAGAUC